Molecule: non-coding RNA, 615 nt
Organism: Peromyscus maniculatus bairdii (prairie deer mouse)
Lineage: Eukaryota; Metazoa; Chordata; Mammalia; Rodentia; Cricetidae
Source: RefSeq, a predicted model, not a curated record
AUUCUCCUGAUUCUACUAAUCACACCCUGCUUCAUCAAUUUCUUCUCUAUGUAUUUCCAAUGACACAUUCAAAUUUCUCUAGUCAAACAACUAAUUAGCUGUUGUUACAGGACUGCCAAGCAUUAGCCACAGAGCUGGAGGCAUAAAGACCACCAAACAUGUCAGCUCCAGGGAGUCAACUUGGAUUCACCUCGAACAGCCUCUUGCCAGGUCCAAGCUGUACCAGAUGAUUCCACAGAACCUAGACAGCAGUGAAACAACCAGCUACCUCAGGACGUGGCCAGCUCCCCCAGCUUUCUCGGGUCUCCCAAAGACGACCAACACCGCCCAGCCUGACUUGGUGACCCAGGAGCUGCAGGUGCUCUCGUAUAUCACCCCCGCACCCCCCCACACACACAUGGACUUGAGUCAUAUAUAUAGUCUUCCUUCUGAGAAUACUCAACUCGCAUCUACAUGGAUCGCAACUUCAGUCUCAGAAGCCAUCCACUGUGGAAUCUGAGAGUCAAGGUUAAUGGAUGGGCCACUCUCACUACUCCUUGGCAGAUUUUAUCCUUUCAUGGAACACAUAAAUGCCAAGCAGUGAGGCUAUUUUUCAAUAAAACGUAUCCAACUUUA